Tupaia belangeri (northern tree shrew) is the source of this 127-nucleotide small nucleolar RNA. Ensembl annotates it as small nucleolar RNA, H/ACA box 61. Its record names the gene SNORA61. NCBI's taxonomy places the organism in Eukaryota, Metazoa, Chordata, Mammalia, Scandentia, Tupaiidae. The record is from Ensembl.
AUCCUCUGGUUCCCUUUCACAUCAGAUCUGAACCUGGUCUUGGUGAUCGUACAAGGAGGGAAAGGAACACUGAAGCUGGUCUCUGGUUGUGUAGCCUGGCUGCACCUGGGGCUGGUUUCAGACACCC